GAAGGCUUCAGACGGCCAGCUCUGCAGUCAGCCACCUCCGUGUGGCAUAGACAAAAGCUGUAGAGAAUUCUAAGUGCAUAGAGAAGCAGAAUUAACCUGUAUCGUGAUCAAGCCAUUCACAAGGUGCUGGAAGAUAAACAGUAGGCAUAACACUUGAGUUUAGGCAGGGAGGUUUUCCUCGCAUCAUUCAUGCUGGUUACUGUUUUCUUAUAGGUCUGUGGGUGCUCCUGAGUAACUGUAUCAUGUUUUAUAAUGCUUGGCACUCUGGUUCAGAUACAGAAACAAGCGUGCCUAGUGAUGUGAGCGUGUGCUGAGGCUGUGAAACACAGAAGAGGCAGAGCAGAUGCCUGAGGCACUCCUUGGAAGUGAUGAAAUCCAGUGGCUGUGACUAAGCUUUGUAAACAUGUUCAUGAAAAUUGCUAAUAAAUUCAGGGCUGUGCCACGAGGCAACAGCGAGGUAUGGAAGAUGGCCCUGAGCUGCUAACAGCAGGAGAAAUAUUUCAGAGUCAAUCCCUGAGGUGCUGGGGUGUUGAGCUUUCCUCUAAAGCAUCCAAGUCGCUGACCGCUGGAGCAACAACUGUAGAUGCAGUCCCUAUGAGCAAAUCAACAGAAUUUAAUUCCUGGACUACACCGUCAUGUACCAGAGGUGGUAUGAUGCAAGACCAAUGGUUAGCUAUGCAGAUUGGUUUCCUCUCCUGUAUCCGUAUAUAACUGAGACAACACUAUCACCCUAUGGAACUAUCACUACCUGUGGCAGCACAAGGCACUGUGUCACCGUAGCACUGUUAAAAAGGAUUAAUAUCCUCAAAAAAUCUACUACAAACUGAGAAAGGCAUCUCCCUGAGAAGGUAUCUGUUGUUUUGUCCCUUAAGUCUGCUUGGAUGUUUGGGGUAAACUAGCAGACAACAGAGGGGAAAACACAACCAAAAUCACCACAAAGAACAAUUUGAAAUAUGACAGUAAGGGUGCUGCUUGCUUUCCUAUCCUCUGGCUCCAGCAGGACAUGAGCAGGCAGCACACUACUGAGCUGCGGCGGCGAUGCUGCUCAGAGACCUCCGAACAGCAGAGGCUUUGCUGGGCUUGAAACCGUCUUUUCCAGUGAUGCCUAUAGAGAAAGAUGAUGGGAGACAGACAGUUAGAGCUCUGCCCAAAUGCCCUAUUGCAGAGCCAGAGCAAUGUUAAAAGGCAGUGAGGACCUGUUCCCAAGCACUCAAAGAAGAACUCAGCAGCAUUUCCAUGCUGCUGUGCUGGCUUCAGGCUGAUGCCUGGUGUGAAUGGCAGCCCCUGGCAGUGUGCCUCUGAAUGAGGCUAUUGAGAGCCUCUGAGCUACAGUCUGCAUGGAAUUCCCUGGCUUCUGCUAUGCAAACACACAUGGGAAAACCAGAGCUGGAUACCCAGCUGUAAAGGCCA
RNAcentral lists this long non-coding RNA (1410 nucleotides) under Chrysolophus pictus (golden pheasant). RNAcentral describes it as "lncRNA (ENSCPIG00010010343.1)". The record is from RNAcentral. Lineage: Eukaryota; Metazoa; Chordata; Aves; Galliformes; Phasianidae.